GUUAUUUCGUUCCAAGAGAGGGAAUGUUGGACAGUUGUUGACUCAGAUUUCACAACAGACCAAUACUACUGACCCAACUGCAAUCCGGACACAGGUGCUCAGAGGGCUUCCAAUCAUCCUGGGGACAAUCCUUCAACCUUCUUCAAAGCAGGCUUUGAAUCAGAUGCUGAUUUUUUCCGUGACCUUGACAUCGGGAUUCUUCUCACUGAGCGUGAAGAGGCUGUGCUCACAUCUGCCCAGCAUCCAAGUCCAACCUUGUUGAAAAUUAUCAUUGAGGGAGAAGUCGUGAUGGAAAACAUCCAAGAUCUGCCUAAAGCAAUGUGCAUUCUGUUUGGACUCACGUAUGCAC
Long non-coding RNA from Oreochromis aureus, 349 nucleotides. RefSeq lists it as uncharacterized. Lineage: Eukaryota; Metazoa; Chordata; Actinopteri; Cichliformes; Cichlidae. The transcript is spliced from 3 exons. The record is from RefSeq and is a predicted model, not a curated record.